This 497-nucleotide ribosomal RNA is filed under the name uncultured bacterium. RNAcentral describes it as "partial 16S ribosomal RNA". It matches the Rfam family "Bacterial small subunit ribosomal RNA", at positions 28 to 507 of the family's 1533-position model. The record is from RNAcentral.
GAUGAACGCUGGCGGCGUGCCUAAUACAUGCCAGUCGAGCGAACGGACGAGAAGCUUGCUUUUCUGAUGUUAGCGGCGGACGGGUGAGUAACACGUGGAUAACCUACCUAUAAGACUGGGAUAACUUCGGGAAACCGGAGCUAAUACCGGAUAAUAUUUUGAACCGCAUGGUUCAAAAGUGAAAGACGGUCUUGCUGUCACUUAUAGAUGGAUCCGCGCUGCAUUAGCUAGUUGGUAAGGUAACGGCUUACCAAGGCAACGAUGCAUAGCCGACCUGAGAGGGUGAUCGGCCACACUGGAACUGAGACACGGUCCAGACUCCUACGGGAGGCAGCAGUAGGGAAUCUUCCGCAAUGGGCGAAAGCCUGACGGAGCAACGCCGCGUGAGUGAUGAAGGUCUUCGGAUCGUAAAACUCUGUUAUUAAGGAAGAACAUAUGUGUAAGUAACUGUGCACAUCUUGACGGUACCUAAUCAGAAAGCCACGGCUAACUACGUG